Molecule: non-coding RNA, 145 nt
Filed under: Megasphaera sp. UPII 135-E
Lineage: Bacteria; Bacillati; Bacillota; Negativicutes; Veillonellales; Veillonellaceae
Also listed under: 1 other name
Description: glmS glucosamine-6-phosphate activated ribozyme aptamer
Rfam family: glmS glucosamine-6-phosphate activated ribozyme aptamer
About the family: This entry contains a glucosamine-6-phosphate activated ribozyme that is found in the mRNA for GlmS. GlmS is an enzyme that uses fructose-6-phosphate and glutamine to generate glucosamine-6-phosphate. The ribozyme catalyses self cleavage of the glmS mRNA that is thought to regulate GlmS activity.
Source: Rfam by way of RNAcentral
GUAAAAUGGAUAGCGCUGGUACCCUUUGGGUAGACGAGGAAGAGGUGUAUCGAAAAGUCAGCGGAUACCUCUCGGCAACUCCGGUCGUUAGGAAAUGGCAAAACCUUUUGGCAACAAGAGGGACAAAUCUGUUACGGGAGUGAGA